RNAcentral lists this ribosomal RNA (253 nucleotides) under uncultured bacterium. RNAcentral's name for it is "partial 16S ribosomal RNA". It matches the Rfam family "Bacterial small subunit ribosomal RNA", at positions 524 to 776 of the family's 1533-position model. The record is from RNAcentral.
UACGAAGGGGGCUAGCGUUGCUCGGAAUCACUGGGCGUAAAGGGUGCGUAGGCGGGGCUUUAAGUCAGGGGUGAAAUCCUGGAGCUCAACUCCAGAACUGCCUUUGAUACUGAAGAUCUUGAGUCCGGGAGAGGUAAGUGGAACUGCGAGUGUAGAGGUGAAAUUCGUAGAUAUUCGCAAGAACACCAGUGGCGAAGGCGGCUCACUGGCCCGGUACUGACGCUGAGGCACGAAAGCGUGGGGAGCAAACAGG